CCGAGAGAGGGGCUUCGCGCUCCCGGGGGUUUCGGCCUCCACCUCUUCACCCAUUGAGUACCUACCUUUGUUGCUUUGGCGGGCCAUGGGGUUCGCCCCACGCCGGCCUCCGCGCUGGUGAGCGCCCGUCAGAGGCCCUCGAAAUUCUGUUUACAAUGACGUCCGAGUUAAACACAAAUAGUUA
This 184-nucleotide unclassified non-coding RNA is filed under the name Usnea dasopoga. RNAcentral describes it as "ITS1". The record is from RNAcentral. Lineage: Eukaryota; Fungi; Ascomycota; Lecanoromycetes; Lecanorales; Parmeliaceae.